Molecule: ribosomal RNA, 497 nt
Filed under: uncultured bacterium
Lineage: Bacteria
Description: partial 16S ribosomal RNA
Rfam family: Bacterial small subunit ribosomal RNA
Source: RNAcentral
GAUGAACGCUGGCGGCGUGCCUAAUACAUGCAAGUCGAGCGAACGGACGAGAAGCUUGCUUCUUUGAUGUUAGCGGCGGACGGGUGAGUAACACGUGGAUAACCUACCUAUAAGACUGGGAUAACUUCGGGAAACCGGAGCUAAUACCGGAUAAUAUUUUGAACCGCAUGGUUCAAAAGUGAAAGACGGUCUUGCUGUCACUUAUAGAUGGAUCCGCGCUGCAUUAGCUAGUUGGUAAGGUAACGGCUUACCAAGGCAACGAGGCAUAGCCGACCUGAGAGAGUGAUCGCCCGCAUUGGAACUGAGACACGGUCCAGACUCCUGAGGGAGGCAGCAGUAGGGAAUCUGCCGCAAUAGGCGAAAGCCUGACGGAGCAGCGCCGCGUGAGUGAUGAAGGUCUUCGGAUCGUAAAACUCUGUUAUUAGGGAAGAACAUAUGUGUAAGUAGCUGUGCACAUCUUGACGGUACCUAAUCAGAAAGCAACGGCUAACUACGUG